GAUAAGCUGUGAAAAAUGAAACUCCUCAAACUUUUGAGCUGCUGCAUUCGGGCACCCAGUGAGGACACUGAGGUAGAGAUGCAGAGGUCAGGGGUCGAGGUCAAAGAGAUGGGAUCUGGAGUGAUGGCUGAUCGGUCUGUUCAUCUGGACAUGUCAUGUGACUAUCCAGAUGACCUUGCAGCCUCACUCAUAGCAUUGUUCAGCGAAAAGGACAGCAGCCAACAGCAGUCAACACCUCAACUAGCAAAAGAGGAAGGUGCUGGAGACCAAGCAUUGGCUGUGGUUCGUCCUAAAUUGGACAGCGAAAAGUUCCGUCCUAGAGUCACACAUGAGCGUCCGGCCCCACAGCGGGGUGAAUGGCGAACGGCUCCAACGCCAGAGCAAAGAGAUGCGGAGGAGUAUGUGAGGAGGGAAAUCCUUCUCCGCUUUUUUUUGCCAGGAGGGGCAUCCACAACGAGAAGGCAACCGAGCUACUCAAAAAAUAUCAAUAAUGGUUGAUGCAUUGCAUCACAUAAAUAUUUCCAUUAAUCAUUAAUAAAAUCCUUUUAUUUUA
This is a long non-coding RNA of Alosa alosa (allis shad), 553 nucleotides long. RefSeq lists it as uncharacterized. The transcript has 3 exons. NCBI's taxonomy places the organism in Eukaryota, Metazoa, Chordata, Actinopteri, Clupeiformes, Clupeidae. The record is from RefSeq and is a predicted model, not a curated record.